UAACCUGCCCAAGAGAUCGGGAUAACACUUGGAAACAGAUGCUAAUACCGGAUAACAACAGAUGAUGCCUAUCAACUGUUUAAAAGAUGGUUCUGCUAUCACUCUUGGAUGGACCUGCGGUGCAUUAGCUAGUUGGUAGGGUAACGGCCUACCAAGGCGAUGAUGCAUAGCCGAGUUGAGAGACUGAUCGGCCACAUUGGGACUGAGACACGGCCCAAACUCCUACGGGAGGCAGCAGAC
RNAcentral lists this ribosomal RNA (240 nucleotides) under uncultured Lactobacillus sp. RNAcentral describes it as "partial 16S ribosomal RNA". It matches the Rfam family "Bacterial small subunit ribosomal RNA", at positions 122 to 354 of the family's 1533-position model. Lineage: Bacteria; Bacillati; Bacillota; Bacilli; Lactobacillales; Lactobacillaceae. The record is from RNAcentral.